CCUACGGGGGGCAGCAGUGAGGAAUAUUGGUCAAUGGACGAGAGUCUGAACCAGCCAAGUAGCGUGAAGGAUGACUGCCCUAUGGGUUGUAAACUUCUUUUAUAUGGGAAUAAAAUGUUCCACGUGUGGGAUUUUGUAGGUACCAUAUGAAUAAGGAUCGGCUAACUCCGUGCCAGCAGCCGCGGUAAUACGGAGGAUCCGAGCGUUAUCCGGAUUUAUUGGGUUUAAAGGGAGCGUAGGUGGAUUGUUAAGUCAGUUGUGAAAGUUUGCGGCUCAACCGUAAAAUUGCAGUUGAAACUGGCAGGCUUGAGUACAGUAGAGGUGGGCGGAAUUCGUGGUGUAGCGGUGAAAUGCUUAGAUAUCACGAAGAACUCCGAUUGCGAAGGCAGCUCACUGGACUGCAACUGACACUGAGGCUCGAAAGUGUGGGUAUCAAACAGGAUUAGAUACCCCAGUAGUC
RNAcentral lists this ribosomal RNA (460 nucleotides) under uncultured bacterium. RNAcentral's name for it is "partial 16S ribosomal RNA". It matches the Rfam family "Bacterial small subunit ribosomal RNA", at positions 338 to 795 of the family's 1533-position model. The record is from RNAcentral.